GACGAACGCUGGCGGCGUGCUUAACACAUGCAAGUCGAACGGAAAGGCCCUGCUUUUGUGGGGUGCUCGAGUGGCGAACGGGUGAGUAACACGUGAGUAACCUGCCCUUGACUUUGGGAUAACUUCAGGAAACUGGGGCUAAUACCGGAUAGGAGCUCCUGCUGCAUGGUGGGGGUUGGAAAGUUUCGGCGGUUGGGGAUGGACUCGCGGCUUAUCAGCUUGUUGGUGGGGUAGUGGCUUACCAAGGCUUUGACGGGUAGCCGGCCUGUGAGGGUGACCGGCCACAUGGGGACUGAGAUACGGACCAGACGGCUACGGGAGGCAGCAGUGGGGAAUAUUGCACAAUGGGAGGAAGCCUGAUGCAGCAACGCCGCGUGCGGGAUGACGGCCUUCGGGUUGUAAACCGCUUUCGACUGUGACGAAGCGUGAGUGACGGUAAUGGGUAAAGAAGCACCGGCUAACUACGUG
RNAcentral lists this ribosomal RNA (468 nucleotides) under uncultured bacterium. Its description in RNAcentral is "partial 16S ribosomal RNA". It matches the Rfam family "Bacterial small subunit ribosomal RNA", at positions 28 to 507 of the family's 1533-position model. The record is from RNAcentral.